AUGGGGUGCAGCAGGCGAGAAAACUUUGCAAUGUGCGCAAGCACGACAAGGUUAAUCCGAGUGUUUCCUUCUAAAGGAAUCUUUUGUUUGUCGUAAAACCACUAACGAAUAAGGGGUGGGCAAGUUCUGGUGUCAGCCGCCGCGGUAAAACCAGCACCUCAAGUGGUCAGGAGGAUUAUUGGGCCUAAAGCGUCCGUAGCCUGUUCUAUAAGUUUCCGGUUAAAUCCAUUAGCUCAACUAAUGGGCCGCCGAAAAUACUGUAGAACUAGGGAGUGGGAGAGGUAGACGGUAUUCGGUAGGAAGGGGUAAAAUCCUUUGAUCUAUUGAGGACCACCUGUGGCGAAGGCGGUCUACCAGAACACGUUCGACGGUGAGGGAUGAAAGCUGGGGGAGCAAACCGGAUUAGAUACCCGGGUAGUCCCAGCUGUAAACGAUGCAGACUCGGUGAUGCGCUGGCUUGUNNNNNNNGCAGUGCCGCAGGGAAGCCGUUAAGUUUGCCGCCUGGGAAGUACGUACGCAAGUAUGAAACUUAAAGGAAUNGGNGGGGGAGCAC
This 553-nucleotide ribosomal RNA is filed under the name uncultured crenarchaeote. RNAcentral's name for it is "bacterial SSU rRNA". It matches the Rfam family "Archaeal small subunit ribosomal RNA", at positions 325 to 879 of the family's 1478-position model. Lineage: Archaea; Thermoproteati; Thermoproteota. The record is from RNAcentral.